Molecule: small nuclear RNA, 107 nt
Organism: Mus pahari (shrew mouse)
Lineage: Eukaryota; Metazoa; Chordata; Mammalia; Rodentia; Muridae
Source: RefSeq, a predicted model, not a curated record
GUGCUCGCUUUGGAAGCACAUAAACUAAAAUUGGAACGAUAUAGAGAAAAUUAGCAUGGCCUCUGCGCAAGGAUGACACGCAAAUUCAUGAAAUGUUCCAAUUUUUU